UAAUACGGAGGAUCCAAGCGUUAUCCGGAUUUAUUGGGUUUAAAGGGUCCGUAGGCGGGUCUUUAAGUCAGUGGUGAAAGCCUGCAGCUUAACUGUAGAAUUGCCAUUGAUACUGAAGACCUUGAGUGUAGUAGAAGUAGGCGGAAUAUGGCAUGUAGCGGUGAAAUGCAUAGAUAUGCCAUAGAACACCGAUUGCGAAGGCAGCUUACUAUGUUACAACUGACGCUGAGGGACGAAAGCGUGGGUAGCAAACAGGAUUAGAUACCCUGGUAGUCCACGCCGUAAACGAUGAUUACUCGCUGUUAGCGAUAUACAGUUAGCGGCCAAGCGAAAGCAUUAAGUAAUCCACCUGGGGAGUACGCCGGCAACGGUG
Molecule: ribosomal RNA, 373 nt
Filed under: uncultured Bacteroidota bacterium
Lineage: Bacteria; Pseudomonadati; Bacteroidota
Description: bacterial SSU rRNA
Rfam family: Bacterial small subunit ribosomal RNA
Source: RNAcentral